RNAcentral lists this long non-coding RNA (421 nucleotides) under Aquilegia coerulea. RNAcentral describes it as "long non-coding RNA (ACOE_LNC000029)". Lineage: Eukaryota; Viridiplantae; Streptophyta; Magnoliopsida; Ranunculales; Ranunculaceae. The record is from RNAcentral.
UUAGGUACACCAUUUUUAAGUUUCAAUCCAACUUCAAGUCUAUAAAGGUAGGCUUUACUUCUCAUUGCUGCAGAAAGUUCUCAAGUUUUAUUGGCUUUGUUUCUCAUUGUUGCACUCAUUAGCGGUAAUGGGAGAGCAGUAAACAGAGUGGCAACAUGCAGCAGUGUGCUUGAAUGUCCUUGCACUUGGCCAAGUAUAAACAGUGGAGGUAUCACAAAGAAUAUAGAGCUUGUUGCGCUCUGCAAUUAUAUGAGUUCUGUGAGGAACGAGAAACCGGGUGAUAUUUAUUGGUUGACCAUUCUCAUUGGACAGGGUUGCACCCUCGCGGUACAUGUUAAGGCGACUAUUUGGUCAUGUCUAAACAUGGAUAGCAGUGUUAUGGAACUGAGAAGAGAUCAGACGUUUGUGGACCUGAUGACGG